GCGUGGGUGAAGAAGGUCUUCGGAUUGUAAAGCCCUUUCGGCGGGGACGAUGAUGACGGUACCCGCAGAAGAAGCCCCGGCUAACUUCGUGCCAGCAGCCGCGGUAAUACGAAGGGGGCUAGCGUUGCUCGGAAUUACUGGGCGUAAAGGGCGCGUAGGCGGCUUGGUCAGUCAGGCGUGAAAUUCCUGGGCUUAACCUGGGGGCUGCGCUUGAUACGGCCGAGCUUGAGGACGGAAGAGGCUCGUGGAAUUCCCAGUGUAGAGGUGAAAUUCGU
This 275-nucleotide ribosomal RNA is filed under the name uncultured bacterium. Its description in RNAcentral is "partial 16S ribosomal RNA". It matches the Rfam family "Bacterial small subunit ribosomal RNA", at positions 399 to 691 of the family's 1533-position model. The record is from RNAcentral.